RNAcentral lists this ribosomal RNA (276 nucleotides) under uncultured bacterium. RNAcentral describes it as "partial 16S ribosomal RNA". It matches the Rfam family "Bacterial small subunit ribosomal RNA", at positions 1225 to 1500 of the family's 1533-position model. The record is from RNAcentral.
UAACAAUGGCGCAAAACAGAGGGAAGCAAAGCCGCGAGGCCGAGCAAAUCCCCAAAAGGCGUCUCAGUUCGGAUUGCAGGCUGCAACUCGCCUGUAUGAAGUCGGAAUUGCUAGUAAUCGCGGAUCAGCAUGCCGCGGUGAAUACGUUCCCGGGCCUUGUACACACCGCCCGUCACACCAUGAGAGCCGGGAACACCCGAAGUCCGUAGUCUAACCGUAAGGAGGACGCGGCCGAAGGUGGGUUUGGUAAUUGGGGUGAAGUCGUAACAAGGUACC